AUUGAACGCUAGCGGGAUGCUUUACACAUGCAAGUCGAACGGCAGCGCGGACUUCGGUCUGGCGGCGAGUGGCGAACGGGUGAGUAAUGUAUCGGAACGUGCCCAGUAGCGGGGGAUAACUACGCGAAGGCGUAGCUAAUACCGCAUACGCCCUACGGGGGAAAGCGGGGGAUCGUAAGACCUUGCACUAUUGGACCGGCCGAUAUCGGAUUAGCUAGUUGGUGAGGUAACGGCUCACCAAGGCGACGAUCCGUAGCUGGUUUGAGAGGACGACCAGCCACACUGGGACUGAGACACGGUCCAGACUCCUACGGGAGGCAGCAGUGGGGAAUUUUGGACAAUGGGGGCAACCCUGAUCCAGCCAUCCCGCGUGUGCGAUGAAGGCCUUCGGGUUGUAAAGCACUUUUGGCAGGAAAGAAACGUCGCGGGCUAAUACCCCGUGGAACUGACGGUACCUGCAGAAUAAGCACCGGCUAACUACGUG
RNAcentral lists this ribosomal RNA (484 nucleotides) under uncultured bacterium. RNAcentral's name for it is "partial 16S ribosomal RNA". It matches the Rfam family "Bacterial small subunit ribosomal RNA", at positions 30 to 507 of the family's 1533-position model. The record is from RNAcentral.